CAUUAAAAAAUAAAAUGUAUUUAUUAUAUGCUUUUUUAUCGUGCCGUGCUGAGUUCAUCUCUAAUCGUGCCAUAUUUUUAAAGUUUGCGUGCUUAUAAUUCUAAUUAUGAUCCAACCCAUAUGGGUGCUGUGCUGUGCUGUGCCGUAUGUUCCACCAAAAUAUACUCAUAUUAUACUGUACUGUACGAUUAUGUGCCGUGCCACGUGCCUCGUGGCCCAUUGGCCAUCUUUACAAUGACCAUCUUUGAUUGUUGCAGGCUUGCAGUUCCCGAGGGGUCUCAUACUAAAAUUUAAAGAACCAUUGUACUAUAAAUAAACCAUGAAAACAUACUUGUGCCCAAAGAUUUUUGUACCUCGGCCCACAUUGCCGGGGCCCAGAUUUCACCAAGCCAAAAUAUAGGGGACAUGUGUUAAGGAAUUUCAUAACAGCUUGACAGCAAGUUAGAUAAUAGAAUAAUUUUUAAAAUAAUUACUGUUGAGUAUAGUUAUUAUACUGUAUAAAUAAUUAAUUGUAAAAAUAAUUGAUUGACAAUCUUUUGUAUAAAGAAUUAAUUGAUAUUCUUUUGGUAAAUCUAACCACUAUAACGAUUAAGAACUACUGAACUAGAUAUUAUUCAAAUAAGCAACAAAAUUAUAUGGUAAAAUUCAUCUUCAAUUUUUAUUGAAUAUGCAUAAAUUAGAUGAUAAUAAAGUAUUGAAGCACAUACUGGAAUUAAAUAGUGAUAGUGAAGUUUUGAUGGAAGGAGAGGAAGAAAUCGGGAAAAGAAACGUAUAUGAACCACAAAAAAAAAAAUCAAUAAUGAUGAUCUCUUUAAAUGUAAAGAUUUUAUUUCUCAACUGAAUAAAAAUAAUAUACAUGAAAUUAAAUUAAAGAUAUAAAUUUUAUUCUCAAAAUUAAAAUUUAAAAAUUACGAGAGGGUGAUUUUACUAAAAGUGAUUUUAAAAAAAAAAUUAACUACACGUUAGAAUUAACUUCUAACAUCUCAAAAUCACUUCAAACCUCUAAAUAACAAUCCCAAAUUGGCCAUAAACGUUAUUAUCUCCUUAAAUAUAUAAAAUCUUUUUGGUCAUACUAUUGGUGAUUUGUCGGCCUAAACAUUUACUUGUCCGUUGGCUCUUGGCCUUUACUAAUUUUCCCAUAAUUCUUCGUAAAGUGAUCUUAUGAUGUGCAUGGUGCACCACAUUGUGUAAUACAAAUUGUAUGAUACAUGUAUUUUUAUAUUUUUCAUAUAUUUAUACUAAAUGAAUAUUAUUUAGAUUUAUUAUUAGUUUAAUUUUAUAUUGAAUUUAUAAUUUAAAUUUAAAAAUAGAAAUACUAUAAAUUUUAAAUUGCAUUGCAGAGCAUUUAAAUUGUUUUCUAUAAUUUGAAAUAUCUAAUAGUACACAUGCAAUGAUUUUAUUUAAGUGGGAUACGAGUAUAAAAUUGUGGAGAAAAAGUACCGCUCCCCAAUUUAAGAAGGAUUACUCAAAAAAAAGGUUUAGUAUUCUAGCAACAUGUGAAUAUUUAAUAUCCUUUCUGGAAAUAAAUAAAAAUUUAGCCCCGCGAAUACAUUGAAGCAUAUGAUUUGUUCUCACUUGUGUGUAUUAUGCAAUGGAUUGAUACAAGUUCACGUCGAACACUUUUAAUAUAUAUUUGUUAGGAUCUUGUGUUCCGAACGAGUCAAAUAAUAUUGAGGCGACAAUAACAGCAACAACUUAGUAUUAAAUUGACACCGGAAUAAAGACAAAAGAUAAAAUUUUUAUUAUUAAGUAAAAUAAAUUCGGGAAAUUUACAAAAGUAAUCUAAAAUUUUUUGUUAUUUUCACAAAUAGCCCUUCAAACUUUUUCCUAUCAACAUUAGUCAAACACAAGCAUUUCUCCCCAAAUUACCCUUCUUUACAAAUCAAAAUCAACUUUCCUUCUCCUCUUUUAUCAAACCAAACGCAGUCUUGCACUCUUGAAUCAUCACCGGCGACGGCAAACGCCGAUGGCGAACGGUAAAAGUGAACUCCGAUUAAAUACAGCAUAAUCCAUUCGGAUCCAACACCAAUCCUCAUCACUGAGUGUGGUAAGAGUUAUGUUCUCAACUUGCGAGAGGGUUUCAGUGCGAUUGCAUUGGUGCAACAGGCACCUAUCGCACAAAGCUUGGUGCGACAGCCGACAGGCACCUGUCGGACGAAAUUUGGUGUGACAGGUUGCCUGUAGCAUCUGUCGCGCACGUGACAUCACACGAGGCGCGCGUGUGCGACGUGCGACGGGCGCGAUGUUGCGCGAAGGCCUGUCGCUGCGAUAAGGUGUGAUAGGCGCGCGUCGCAUGUGCGACAGGUGUGCCUGUCACACCUGAUCGCAGAUCGUGCGCUGAACAACUUUCAAGCCUCCUCCUCUAAACCUACGGCAACUUCUUCACCCAUACACUCAACGUCAUAAACCCUUCAAUCUUCAUUCACCAUCACCAAUACAACACAAAAACCACAACAUAGAAGAAUAAUAGAAAAUAAAAAUCUAGGGUUUUUGACAUAACCUUUAAUUUCAGCUCUUGAUCGAAAUUUUGGUGAUGUUCGCUGCCGAGAAUGACUCCGAGAAGCUGCCGGCGAUGAGUGAACACGUUGGGACGGAAUUCGGCAGUGAGAGAAAGCGAGAGAGAGAGAGAGAGAGAGAGAGAGAGAGAGAGAGAGAGAGAGAGAGAGAGAGGAAGGAGAGGAAGGAGAGGGAGGAGUUAUGGGAGGGGUAUUUUCGGCACAAGUGGGGAGUUUUGGCUAAUGUUGAUAGGAAAAAGUUUGAAGGGCUAUUUGUGAAAAUAACAAAAGUUUUUGGGUUAUUUUUAUAAAUUUCCCAAUAAAUUCAC
Molecule: long non-coding RNA, 2824 nt
Filed under: Citrus x clementina
Lineage: Eukaryota; Viridiplantae; Streptophyta; Magnoliopsida; Sapindales; Rutaceae
Description: Citrus clementina (C. clementina) long non-coding RNA (CCLE_LNC002449)
Source: RNAcentral